UGAACGCUGGCGGCGUGCCUAAUACAUGCAAGUCGAACGAUGAAGUCCUAGCUUGCUAGGAUGGAUUAGUGGCGCACGGGUGAGUAAUAUAUAGUUAAUCUGCCCUACACAGAGGAACAACAGUUGGAAACGGCUGCUAAUACCUCAUACUCCUAUUUGACAUAAGUUAAAUAGGGAAAGUCUUUUCGGUGUAGGAUGAGACUAUAUCGUAUCAGCUAGUUGGUAAGGUAAUGGCUUACCAAGGCUAUGACGCGUAACUGGUCUGAGAGGAUGAUCAGUCACAUUGGAACUGAGACACGGUCCAAACUCCUACGGGAGGCAGCAGUAAGGAAUAUUGCGCAAUGGGGGAAACCCUGACGCAGCAACGCCGCGUGGAGGAUGACACUUUUCGGAGCGUAAACUCCUUUUAUCAGGAAAGAAUAAUGACGGUACCUGAUGAAUAAGCACCGGCUAACUCCGUGCCAGCAGCCGCGGUUAUACGGGGGGUGCAAGCGUUACUCGGAAUCACUGGGCGUAAAG
This 519-nucleotide ribosomal RNA is filed under the name Campylobacter ureolyticus. RNAcentral describes it as "bacterial SSU rRNA". It matches the Rfam family "Bacterial small subunit ribosomal RNA", at positions 30 to 565 of the family's 1533-position model. Lineage: Bacteria; Pseudomonadati; Campylobacterota; Epsilonproteobacteria; Campylobacterales; Campylobacteraceae. The record is from RNAcentral.